RNAcentral lists this long non-coding RNA (673 nucleotides) under Panax ginseng (ginseng). RNAcentral describes it as "long non-coding RNA (PGIN_LNC006561)". Lineage: Eukaryota; Viridiplantae; Streptophyta; Magnoliopsida; Apiales; Araliaceae. The record is from RNAcentral.
UGAUGAGGGCGUGACUGGAUGCGAUUAGGGUUUGCACAGGGCAGAAAAGGGCAAAAGUGUAAAGGGGCAGAAAGGGCCAAAAGAAAUGGAAUGCAGCGUUGAUGGAUCCGGCGUUUGUAGGGUUGAAACGAAACCUUAAAAAAUUUUGGCACUCAAACGCGCCUUGUUUGUGGAAAUCGGCAGAAUGAAGGUGGAGAGAGAAUCGGGGGGAGAGAGAGUGAAUUUGUGGACUUUUUUGUGGAGACAGAAUGAAGGUGGAGAGAGAAUCGGCAGAAUGCCCCAAAUUUGUUUUCCCCCUUUUUUGUGACCCGCGUCAUUUUUUAACCUAAUAUAUGACCCGCGUAUGUUUUUUUUCCUUUGGUCCGUUGUUAGUCCUUUAGUAAGGUCCGUCCAAGAUCCUGCCUCAACCAGCGUGUGUCCACCAUGUAUGUUACCUUUUCCAAAGUACUAUGAACUAUCAAAUUAGUGAGACCCUACCCUAUCCUUCCUAGCGGAUGACUAUAGGUAAACUCAAAACUAACAUUUCGAUACAAGCGAUGAAUAUAAAAAAUAAUUUGAAUAAAAGCUAUGAGUAUAAAAAAUAAUUUAAAUAAAAAUAUAAGUAAAAUUUGAGCAAAGAUUAUACUCGACAACUCAAAUUUUAGAUUAUGAUUCGAUACAUACUCAAAAUGAU